CUCAUUUGCCAAUGAUGCAAAGUCUUCAGCCCCACUGCGUAGUUCUUCAGUUCGUCGGUUGAUUCUCUCGAGUUUUUCUUGGCGUUCUAGAAGCUUGUCUCUUGCUUGUCCAGCCGCUGAUGAUGCAUCCUGGACCCCAGUUUUUCUAUAUUUUGCAAUGAUUUCUUCACGUGUCCUAGGUCUGGGUUUGGCAUCAUCACCCACAGAAUCAAGCAACUUUUCUCUUUCAGUUCCUCUUUUGCUAUUUUGUGUGUUGUGAGAUGAAGUAGAAGCCACAAGAACUGGAGCUCGAUAUAGAUGAUAUUGAAAUCGAUGACCCUGUCCCUGUGGCUUCUA
Molecule: unclassified non-coding RNA, 336 nt
Filed under: Hevea brasiliensis (rubber tree)
Lineage: Eukaryota; Viridiplantae; Streptophyta; Magnoliopsida; Malpighiales; Euphorbiaceae
Source: RNAcentral